AGUAGUACGCACCAGCCCGAUCGUAACGUCAAGAGUCAGUCCACUGACUGAACCGGUCGUCUACGAAGCAGCAGUGGGAAUUGGCCAUUGGCCAGCUGAUCAGCAUGCCGAGUUAGAAGAAGGUCUUCGAUGUAAAGUACUUUCAGUGGAGGAGGCAUGACUAAUACUACAGUGAUGACGUACUGGCAGAAGAAGCACCUGCUACUUCUGUGCAAGCAGCCGCGUAAUACCGAGGGUGCAGCGUAUCGGAUUACUGGGCGUAAAGCGCGCACGUCAGGUGGUCUGUCAAGUCGAAGGUGAAAUCCCCCAGGCUUCAACCUUGGGAACUGCAAUCCAAAACGGCCAGCCAAGAGUCUGUAGGAGGGGGGUGGAAUUUCCAGUGGUAGCGGGGAAAUGCGAAAAGAUAGAAAGGACUACAGUGGGGGAAGGGGCCCCCCUGAACAAUAACUGCCGCUCAGGUGGGAAAGCGUGGGGACCAACAAGGAUAGGAUACCUUGUUAUUCCACCCGGUAAACAUGUCAGAUUGGGAGGUGGAUCCCUGAAGUAGUGGUGUCGGGAGUUAACGCGUUAAUUGGCCCCCCUGGGGAGUAGGCCGCCAAGGUUAAAAUUAAAAGAAAUGGAGGGGGGCCCCCCCAAGGGGGGGGCCAUGUGGUUAAUUUGGAGCCACCGGGAGAAACCUUCCAUACUCUUGCCUUCCAGAGAAUUUAGCAGAGAAGAUUGGGGCCUUUGGGGACAUUUAAACCAGGGGUGCCAGGGCGUUGUUCAGUUCGGUUUUGGAAAUGUGGGGUUAAUUCCCGCAACGAGCGCAACCUUUUCCUUUGUUACCCACAGGUAAUGCCGGGCACUCAAAGGAGACUGCCAGUGACAAACCGGAGGAAGGUGGGGAUGACGUCAAGUCAUCAUGGCCCUUACGACUAGGGCUACACACGUGCUACAAUGGCAGAUACAAAGGGAAGCCACCUCGCGAGAGCAAGCGGACCUCACAAAGUAGGUCGUAGUCCGGAUCGCAGUCUGCAACUCGACUCCGUGAAGUCGGAAUCGCUAGUAAUCGUAAAUCAGAAUGUCGCGUAAUUGACCCUUCAAA
Molecule: ribosomal RNA, 1084 nt
Filed under: Pantoea sp.
Lineage: Bacteria; Pseudomonadati; Pseudomonadota; Gammaproteobacteria; Enterobacterales; Erwiniaceae
Description: bacterial SSU rRNA
Rfam family: Bacterial small subunit ribosomal RNA
Source: RNAcentral